CGGUGAGGAAGGCGAGAAGCCAGGCGGAGGUCGAGGUGAUGCGUUGCAUCCUGUGGUUGUUCCACCAGCAUGGGAUGAGAGCCCGCACUUCUUGUACUCCAUCACGUGGUAUAUGUUGUAGGUCAAGAAUAGAGCCACUGGGAUGCAAAAACCUUCAUCCGAUGCCUGCAAAACAACAAAUGUACAAAUCACGAUAUAUCUAUAUUUACAUAUUGAUGUGGAAGAAGAAGACGGUGAUUCCCUUCCGGUGGAGCGCAAAAACAUGACUAUUGAUUUCGCGCCUUGAAUACCGAAGUGGCGACCGCAAAAAAAUCAUGGUAAUCUGAAGAAGGGUUUCGGGGAUAUUUAUGAGUUAGAGGCAAGAAACUUAAGGUGAUAGACCUCCCUAGGCCCCACAUGCCCUCGACUGCAGCUACCGCACUAACGUUGCCCCUCACAAAAAAACCUACUAACUACAUCAUUGCCGCCAGCUAUGAGGGCUUUGUCUGGCGGUGUAUAUUGGCACGAUGGGCUAGAGCACGAUCUUGCCACCGCCCAUGUCGCCCGCAAGGACGACGCAAGGCUAGUUAAGUUUUUUUGGACUCGACAGAAAAAGAUGCGGACAUCAUGUAACAAAUUUUGGGUGUGGCUAGCUCUAAUCGUCACCAUAGAAUUUAUUUGCUAUUUUUUCUCUUUCAGUUCUACUUUGUUUUCCUUUUAUUUUUUAUUCUCAACAUUUUUAUUGUAUUACUUUUAAAAAGAUACGCAAAAUAUAAUUGCACUCAGUCAGUAGGUGUGCACUGUAGUUGUGUGUGGGCGAUGGACAUGCAGUUGUGCACAUGUACACAGGGAUGCAACCGCAAGUGUGCACAACUGAUGGACAUGCUGCUGCGGGAAACCGGUAGACAUGUAAUUUUGUGCAACCAUUGGACAUGUGGUUGCACGCGACUAGUGGACAUGCAACCACAAGUGACCAGUGGGCAUGUAGUUGCACACAACCAACAGGUGAAAAGAAAGUGUAAAGAAAGAAAAAAGGGAAUCCAAAGUAGAGUAAUAAAAAAAAUCAUAAAUCAACUAAAUGAAAAACUGGGAAAAAUCACACGAAGCCCCGCACAAAACCAAAUGGCAUAGGAGUUAGAUAAGACAUUGCUAAGUCUGAUCAAAAUCACGAUCAACAAAUCCAUAUUUCCUUUCAGUUUAGUCAUUUGUUGUGUUUUGAAAGAAUUGGAUCAAACUUUCCUUAACAACAAGCUUUUAAUUACAAAUGUGGUAGGAGUAGUUCUGCACAGAACCGAAAUUACGCUUCAAAUAUUUCGAUGGCCAGCCCCGCCGGUUAGUUCCUUGUGCAGAGGUGCACGAACGCAGCCACAAUCAACCCAGCCUUCACCCUGACACUCCACGGGAUCCCAUACUUUCCACUACUGACAAGCCCUCUCACGAAUGGCCAGAAGCACAACACCAUCCAGCCACAGCACACGAACUCUCCGACGCCCGGGCCACCAUGAACGCCCGCCACCGUCCCGACGACGGCGCGCCAUGCCGCGACGGUGAGGGCGACAAUGUUCAACACUGAGAGCGCCGUCACUGGGAUGAAAACGGGCGCCGAGUCAAAGGUGAACAACCCAGGAUCGGCAUCGUCGGUGCCCGCGCCGCCAUCGGAUGACGUGCUGCUCUCCUUGCGGGUGACCUCGAACACGGUCUCGGAGAGCCCUAGCGUCUUGAGGAUGACGGUGAGGAAGGCGAGGAGCCAGGCGGAGGCCGAGGUGAUGCGUUGCAUCCUAUGGUUGUUCCACCAGGCGCGGACCGAGAGCCCGCACUCCUUGUACUCCAUCAGGUGGUAUAUGUUGUAAGUCAAAAAUAGAGCCGCUGGGAUGUGAAAACCUUCAUCUGAUGCCUGCAAAACGGCAAAUGCACUAAAAUUUCAGCUAUGAGCAAUGUAGUAAUGGGUCAUGGCAAAAAUGUGUGUACC
This 1948-nucleotide long non-coding RNA is filed under the name Triticum aestivum (bread wheat). RNAcentral's name for it is "long non-coding RNA (TAES_LNC020947)". Lineage: Eukaryota; Viridiplantae; Streptophyta; Magnoliopsida; Poales; Poaceae. The record is from RNAcentral.